This 574-nucleotide unclassified non-coding RNA is filed under the name Hevea brasiliensis (rubber tree). The record is from RNAcentral. Lineage: Eukaryota; Viridiplantae; Streptophyta; Magnoliopsida; Malpighiales; Euphorbiaceae.
CGCCAACUCGACCUCACUGGCGGAGGCGCGCGGCCGCGUGGUCGACUUUUACAAAGCGGCGUGCCGGUCGCUGCCGGCGGUGAUGGAGAUCUACAACCUCCACGACGUCGCCACCGUCUCCCAACUCCGGUCCAACAUUUCCGAACAGUUCCGCAAGAACGCCCACAUCACCAACCCCAAGGUAAUUGACAUGCUCAUCUUCAAAGGAAUGGAGGAACUGGGCAACGUUGUCGAGCACUCGAAGCAGCGGCACCACAUCCUAGGCCAAUAUGUCAUAGGUCCCCAAGGAUCUACUCCGGGUUCUAGCACAAAAGACAGCACCUCUGACUUUCUCAAGAACUUCUACACUGGCAACUAUGUCUGACCGCAGCCUUGCUCUUAUGCCCUUCCAGUCUGCGCCUCCGCAGCUCUCUGCUUAUUGAAAUAAAGAUUCUGAGUUCAUUACUCUCAUCAUAUCGUGGAUGCAAAAAGAUUGUAUUUUUUUCGUGUAAUUUGAUGACGUUGAUUUCGACCGAAUCACUUCAAAAAUUCUUGUUGAAUGAUAUAAUUAUUUCUGGGCAUCUCUCUGUCUAUA